RNAcentral lists this ribosomal RNA (208 nucleotides) under uncultured bacterium. RNAcentral's name for it is "partial 16S ribosomal RNA". It matches the Rfam family "Bacterial small subunit ribosomal RNA", at positions 568 to 774 of the family's 1533-position model. The record is from RNAcentral.
CUCGUAGGCGGUCCAUCGCGUCGGGAGUGAAAAGCUGGGGCUUAACCCCAGUCCUGCUUCCGAUACGGGUGGACUAGAGGUAGGCAGGGGAGAACGGAAUUCCUGGUGUAGCGGUGAAAUGCGCAGAUAUCAGGAGGAACACCGGUGGCGAAGGCGGUUCUCUGGGCCUUACCUGACGCUGAGGAGCGAAAGCAUGGGGAAGCAAACA